This 1032-nucleotide long non-coding RNA is filed under the name Canis lupus familiaris (dog). RNAcentral's name for it is "lncRNA (ENSCAFG00000058604.1)". Lineage: Eukaryota; Metazoa; Chordata; Mammalia; Carnivora; Canidae. The record is from RNAcentral.
AUGCCUAUUGGAGACACGAAGGGCCCGAAGCAAGCACAGUCUGCAAGGGGAAGACCCGCGGCGUCCCGAGGUCUGCACUUUGAGGAGGGAGGCAGGAGGUACGGAACAAGUACCCAGAAGAAAAAGGCCACGACUGAGAGCAAAGCGAAGUCUGACGGACGCGGGCGCGUUCCUAGUGCGGUAGCCAGCGACGCACCCAGGCCUCCUCCCGGGGGCAGGCCUUGGGGCAGCCUCGCUCGCGCUCCAGGCUCGAGGCCCGGGGGGCGGGGCACCGGCGGGGGCGGGGGCGACCCGACCCCGGCCCCCGGCGCCCGCCCGCCAGCUCCCGGCCUCCCGCUCCGCGUACGACCGCAGCGUGCAGUUCCGCGGAGAAACUGCAGUGGGGAGGCCCCUCUAAGGAAAGUUCCGGGACCCGCGGCGGGGCGGCCUUACCAGCGGAACCACCGGCCAGGAUCUGGCGAGAAGCCUCUCUCGCGAAGCCAGCAUUGGGCUGGGCGGACAUCUUCGAAAGCCCGGGGCGGCGGAGCGGAGCGGGCGAGCUCGCCGGCCUGCAAGAGCUGCUGCUGGUCCUGGCGCCGGCGGCUCCUGGGGAGGCGGCAGCCCGGCGGCCGCCCGGAGGUGGCGGCUCAGGGCGCAGGCUCACAGUGCGUGAUCUCCGGCGGGUGCGAACCUGCCCGCGGCUCCCCUUCAGGGCUUUCUGUCGCCGCCGCUAGGCCCCCUGGGCGCCAAGAAGGGCCUCGGCGGAGAAAGGCCUCGCGGACGGGGUCGGUCUGGCCGCCCGCGGUGGUAGGGUUUGGUCUCCCAGCUUGGCGCCCAAGCGCUUCCCUAUCGGGAGCCUCCUGCAGUUCGUCAGGCCCACGCGCCGCCGCUGAUAACGCUCUGAAGAGGCGCCCCUGGCCUCGCGGCGGCGCCGGGGCGACCCUUGCCCUCCUUGGCAGGCCAGCGCUCCGGGAGGCCCUAAAGAACGGACAGGUGGAUCCUGAAAUUGUGGGUUCUAGAAGCCAGGCCAAGUUACAAUUAUCUUUCAAUUAA